AUUGAACGCUGGCGGCAUGCCUUACACAUGCAAGUCGAACGGCAGCACGGGAGCUUGCUCCUGGUGGCGAGUGGCGAACGGGUGAGUAAUGCAUCGGAACGUACCCGGAAGUGGGGGAUAACGUAGCGAAAGUUACGCUAAUACCGCAUAUUCUGCGAGCAGGAAAGAGGGGGAUCGCAAGACCUCUCGCUUUCGGAGCGGCCGAUGUCGGAUUAGCUAGUUGGUGGGGUAAAGGCCUACCAAGGCGACGAUCCGUAGCGGGUCUGAGAGGAUGAUCCGCCGCACUGGAACUGAGACACGGUCCAGACUCCUACGGGAGGCAGCAGUGGGGAAUUUUGGAACAUGGGCGAAAGCCUGAUCCAGCCAUGCCGCGUGAGUGAAGAAGGCCUUCGGGUUGUAAAGCUCUUUCGGCUGAAAAGAAAUCGCACAGGCUAAUACCCUGUGUGGAUGACGGUAUCAGCAUAAGAAGCACCGGCUAACUACGUGCCAGCCGCCGCGGUAA
Molecule: ribosomal RNA, 502 nt
Filed under: uncultured bacterium
Lineage: Bacteria
Description: partial 16S ribosomal RNA
Rfam family: Bacterial small subunit ribosomal RNA
Source: RNAcentral